Molecule: long non-coding RNA, 221 nt
Filed under: Selaginella moellendorffii
Lineage: Eukaryota; Viridiplantae; Streptophyta; Lycopodiopsida; Selaginellales; Selaginellaceae
Description: long non-coding RNA (SMOE_LNC000103)
Source: RNAcentral
UUAUGAGAACUCAAUACUUGCAUUUCUUGCUAAGACCGAAGGAAACGUCCGAACCAAAACACAAGGCAAAUGCUGCAAGACGCCAUGUAGUCGCCAGCUGAGGCAUACACAUCUAAGAAACGGCCUGGUUUGAUUCAUCUCCUCCUGCAAGAGACACAUUUAGUCCCGAGCUCCAUCUUCGAUCCGCGGGCCACAACGAAGAAGAAUCCUCCCUAAAGACA